CAGCUUAGCUAUGCUAAAUUACGGCUGAGAAUUUAACUGGCCAGUUGUUAUAUGAGAGUUUUUUGAGAUCUCCAUCAACAUGUCUGCUUACUGAGCUUCUCACAUUU
Molecule: small nucleolar RNA, 107 nt
Organism: Hevea brasiliensis (rubber tree)
Lineage: Eukaryota; Viridiplantae; Streptophyta; Magnoliopsida; Malpighiales; Euphorbiaceae
Product: small nucleolar RNA snoR109
Exons: 1
Source: RefSeq, a predicted model, not a curated record